GGUACCGUAGCUCAGAUGGUUAGAGCGUGGGACUCAUAAGCCCAAGGUCACUGGUUCGAUCCCAGUCGGUACUACCA
Molecule: transfer RNA, 77 nt
Filed under: Candidatus Saccharimonadota bacterium
Lineage: Bacteria; Candidatus Saccharimonadota
Also listed under: 1 other name
Description: tRNA-Met
Rfam family: tRNA
About the family: Transfer RNA (tRNA) molecules are approximately 80 nucleotides in length. Their secondary structure includes four short double-helical elements and three loops (D, anti-codon, and T loops).
Source: RNAcentral